Rosa rugosa (rugosa rose) is the source of this 1548-nucleotide long non-coding RNA. RefSeq lists it as uncharacterized. The transcript has 4 exons. The record is from RefSeq and is a predicted model, not a curated record. Lineage: Eukaryota; Viridiplantae; Streptophyta; Magnoliopsida; Rosales; Rosaceae.
GUGGGCAAAAAUGACCGAAAGACCGAAAGACCGGAAGGGACCGAUCCGGACCGGCCGGUUCGGUCCGGGUUUUAGAAGGAAAAUAAGUGUUUUCGGGCCGGUUCGGUCCCUAUAAUUAGUGUGGCGGUCCGGUCCCGGUUCUUGAAAAUAAGUGUGUUCGGGCCGGUUCGGUCCUUAAGUGUCCUUGGCGGUCCGGGUUCGGUUCUUGACUAGAGGUGACUGCGUGGACCGGAAAACCCGAGCUUAUGUACGUGUCGUACAAUUAUAGGUUUGUUUUCGAAGUAUAUUGUGUUAGUAUGGACACCAUCACAUGUGAUUAGUUAAUAGACCUAAAAUCUAAAACCCGUAGUCAAUCUUCCUCAGCUCUCGCAGACUCCGCCAGUCCGCCUCCAACUCUCUCGGUCUCUCGACUCUCUCCCAGAAAUCGAUCUUCCUCAACCUUCAGUCAGUCAGCCGGUCAGCCCCUCUGUUCCUCACAAUCGGUCUUCCUCAGCCCUCAGCCCUCAGCCCUCACCUCUAGAGAAAGACGAUCCGAUUGAAGAUUCAAUUUCGAUUUCGAUCCGAUUGAGAAAUCGAUUUCGAUCCGAUUGAAGAUUCAAUCUCUGUGGGCGCUGCUUCAAUCAUCAUUUCAGGAUACUCUGCACCUGUGGCUUGGCAAAUUAGAUUACUUCCCGGAGCUAUGCAGAAUCUGCACCGUCUUAUAUCUCGUCUUUCCUCAGGUCUGUGAGAAGUUUGCAGCUCAGUUGCACCACCAAGUUGAGAAGAAGAGAGCUGAGGUCGAACCCAAAGAAGGUAGAUCUCGGAGUAUCAGAUUAUUGAGAUUACGGAGAAUGUUUGUAAUCUGAAGAAGGCAGAGGCGGAUUGGAUUUUGCUGAUUGACAUAGUUGAACAAGGAGAUAAGUUGCAGUAUUGUAGAAGAUUUCAAUAAGGAAAUAUAAAGGCUUGCAGAUUUCAGUAAGGAAAUAUAAAGGCUUGCAGAUUUUUCCUUGUCCAGACAAAGAUCUUGUAGAUAUAGUUAUUGUUGGUUUACAUUAGUUGAGAGAAAUUAGUACUGCUUCAUCGAGCUAGUAUUUUGAUGGUGUUUUGGACCACAAGAUCUCUUUAGAAUAUACUGAGUAAGAGACAUUGUUUCAUUUAUUUAUUCACUCAUUGUUUAUUAAUCUGCUUAUUUAUUCACUCUAGCUUCAAUCAAAGCAUGUGUAUGAAACGUACAGUCUGCAGAUCAUUAACAGAUGCUGUUUAAUUAAACCAGAAAAUAUUGUAUAUCCAGGAGAAAAUCGUGGCAUAAGUCAACACCCCAAUCAAUGCCCGCAAGCUUCAGUAAAUAAAGCUCAAACAACGGCAUUGAGCAUGGCAGCAUGGAACCCCAAUCAAUGGCAUUGAGCAUGGCAGCAUGGAACUGAUGGAAGUUGAACUUGUUGUGUAACUAACUAACUAUGUUGAUUGAAAUCAUUGAAUGAUUGUUAUUUGCAAGAUGGAUUUAUUUGCAGCCUUGCUGCUAGUGCAGAUUGCACUUUGCAGAAUGGUUUAUUGGUUUUAUUUUUUGCG